Molecule: ribosomal RNA, 1551 nt
Filed under: uncultured bacterium
Lineage: Bacteria
Description: bacterial SSU rRNA
Rfam family: Bacterial small subunit ribosomal RNA
Source: RNAcentral
UUAGCGGCCGCGAAUUCGCCCUUAGAGUUUGAUCAUGGCUCAGGAUGAACGCUGGCGGCACGCCUAACACAUGCAAGUCGAGCGAGAAUCUUUCAAAUGAUCCUUCGGGUGAAUGAGAGAGAGGAAAGCGGCGGACGGGUGAGUAACGCGUGGGAAACCUGCCCUAUACACAGGGAUAGCCAUUGGAAACGAUGAUUAAUACCUGAUAAGACCACAAUUUCGCAUGAUUUUGUGGUAAAAAUUCCGGUGGUAUGGGAUGGUCCCGCGUCUGAUUAGCUAGUUGGUAAGGUAAUGGCUUACCAAGGCGACGAUCAGUAGCCGGCCUGAGAGGGUGAACGGCCACACUGGAACUGAGACACGGUCCAGACUCCUACGGGAGGCAGCAGUGGGGGAUAUUGCACAAUGGGGGAAACCCCGAUGCAGCGAUGCCGCGUGAAUGAUGAAGGCUUUCGAGUCGUAAAGUUCUGUUCUUAGGGAAGAUAGUGACGGUACCUAAGAAGAAAGUCCCGGCUAAAUACGUGCCAGCAGCCGCGGUAAUACGUAUGGGACGAGCGUUAUCCGGAAUUAUUGGGCGUAAAGAGUUCGUAGGCGGUUUUCUAAGUCAGAAGUGAAAGGCAGUGGCUCAACCAUUGUAAGCUUUUGAAACUGGGAGACUUGAGUGUUGGAGAGGAAAGCGGAAUUCCUAGUGUAGCGGUGAAAUGCGUAGAUAUUAGGAGGAACACCAGUGGCGAAGGCGGCUUUCUGGACAAAUACUGACGCUGAGGAACGAAAGCGUGGGGAGCGAACAGGAUUAGAUACCCUGGUAGUCCACGCCGUAAACGAUGAGUGCUAGGUGUUGGGGUAGCGAUACCUCAGUGCCGCAGCUAACGCAUUAAGCACUCCGCCUGGGGAGUACGGUCGCAAGACUGAAACUCAAAGGAAUUGACGGGGGCCCGCACAAGUAGCGGAGCAUGUGGUUUAAUUCGAAGCAACGCGAAGAACCUUACCAGGUCUUGACAUCCCGGUGACCGGUCCAGAGAUGGAUCUUUCUCUUCGGAGACACCGGUGACAGGUGGUGCAUGGUUGUCGUCAGCUCGUGUCGUGAGAUGUUGGGUUAAGUCCCGCAACGAGCGCAACCCUUAUCUUUAGUUGCCAGCAUUUAGUUGGGCACUCUAGAGAGACUGCCGGUGACAAACCGGAGGAAGGUGGGGAUGACGUCAAAUCAUCAUGCCCCUUAUGACCUGGGCUACACACGUGCUACAAUGGUCGGUACAGAAGGCAGCGAAGGAGCGAUCCGGAGCGAAUCUCAAAAGCCGAUCUCAGUUCGGAUUGCAGGCUGCAACUCGCCUGCAUGAAGCUGGAGUUACUAGUAAUCGCGAAUCAGAAUGUCGCGGUGAAUGCGUUCCCGGGCCUUGUACACACCGCCCGUCACACCACGGGAGUUGGUAAUACCCGAAGUCGCUGGGCUAACCCUUUUAGGGAGGCAGGCGCCGAAGGUAGGAUCGAUGACUGGGGUGAAGUCGUAACAAGGUAAAGGGCGAAUUCGUUUAAACCUGCAGGACUAGUCCCUUU